This 467-nucleotide ribosomal RNA is filed under the name uncultured bacterium. RNAcentral's name for it is "partial 16S ribosomal RNA". It matches the Rfam family "Bacterial small subunit ribosomal RNA", at positions 28 to 507 of the family's 1533-position model. The record is from RNAcentral.
GACGAACGCUGGCGGCGUGCUUAACACAUGCAAGUCGAACGGAAAGGCCUCUUUCGGGGGGUACUCGAGUGGCGAACGGGUGAGUAACACGUGAGUAACCUGCCCUUGACUUUGGGAUAACUUCAGGAAACUGGGGCUAAUACCGGAUAGGAGCUCCUGCUGCAUGGUGGGGGUUGGAAAGUUUCGGCGGUUGGGGAUGGACUCGCGGCUUAUCAGCUUGUUGGUGGGGUAGUGGCUUACCAAGGCUUUGACGGGCAGCCGGCCUGAGAGGGUGACCGGCCACAUUGGGACUGAGAUACGGCCCAGACUCCUACGGGAGGCAGCAGUGGGGAAUAUUGCACAAUGGGUGGGAGCCUGAUGCAGCAACGCCGUGUGCGGGAUGACGGCCUUCGGGUUGUAAACCGCUUUCGCUCAUGACGAAGCUUUGUGUGACGGUAGUGGGUAAAGAAGCACCGGCUAACUACGUG